GACGAACGCUGGCGGCGUGCUUAACACAUGCAAGUCGAACGGAAAGGCCCUGCUUUUGUGGGGUGCUCGAGUGGCGAACGGGUGAGUAACACGUGAGUAACCUGCCCUUGACUUUGGGAUAACUUCAGGAAACUGGGGCUAAUACCGGAUAGGAGCUCCUGCUGCAUGGUGGGGGUUGGAAAGUUUCGGCGGUUGGGGAUGGACUCGCGGCUUAUCAGCUUGUUGGUGGGGUAGUCUUACCAAGGCUUUGACGGGUAGCCGGCCUGAGAGGGUGACCGGCCACAUUGGGACUGAGAUACGGCCCAGACUCCUACGGGAGGCAGCAGUGGGGAAUAUUGCACAAUGGGCGGAAGCCUGAUGCAGCAACGCCGCGUGCGGGAUGACGGCCUUCGGGUUGUAAACCGCUUUCGCCUGUGACGAAGCGUGAGUGACGGUAAUGGGUAAAGAAGCACCGGCUAGCUACGUG
RNAcentral lists this ribosomal RNA (466 nucleotides) under uncultured bacterium. RNAcentral describes it as "partial 16S ribosomal RNA". It matches the Rfam family "Bacterial small subunit ribosomal RNA", at positions 28 to 507 of the family's 1533-position model. The record is from RNAcentral.